RNAcentral lists this ribosomal RNA (879 nucleotides) under uncultured bacterium. RNAcentral describes it as "bacterial SSU rRNA". It matches the Rfam family "Bacterial small subunit ribosomal RNA", at positions 8 to 916 of the family's 1533-position model. The record is from RNAcentral.
AGAGUUUGAUCCUGGCUCAGGAUGAACGCUGGCGGCGUGCCUAACACAUGCAAGUCGAGCGAUUCACUUCGGUGAAGAGCGGCGGACGGGUGAGUAACGCGUGGGUAACCUGCCUCAUACACAUGGAUAACAUACCGAAAGGUAUGCUAAUACAAGAUGAUAUAAGAGAUUCGCAUGGAUUUCUUAUCAAAGCUCCGGCAGUAUGAGAUGGACCCGCGUCUGAUUAGCUAGUUGGUAAGGUAACGGCUUACCAAGGCGACGAUCAGUAGCCGACCUGAGAGGGUGAUCGGCCACAUUGGAACUGAGACACGGUCCAAACUCCUACGGGAGGCAGCAGUGGGGAAUAUUGCACAAUGGGCGAAAGCCUGAUGCAGCAACGCCGCGUGAGCGAUGAAGGCCUUCGGGUCAUAAAGCUCUGUCCUCAAGGAAGAUAAUGACGGUACUUGAGGAGGAAGCCCCGGCUAACUACGUGCCAGCAGCCGCGGUAAUACGUAGGGGGCUAGCGUUAUCCGGAUUUACUGGGCGUAAAGGGUGCGUAGGUGGUUUCUUAAGUCAGGAGUGAAAGGCUACGGCUCAACCGUAGUAAGCUCUUGAAACUGGGAAACUUGAGUGCAGGAGAGGAAAGUGGAAUUCCUAGUGUAGCGGUGAAAUGCGUAGAUAUUAGGAGGAACACCAGUAGCGAAGGCGGCUUUCUGGACUGUAACUGACACUGAGGCACGAAAGCGUGGGGAGCAAACAGGAUUAGAUACCCUGGUAGUCCACGCCGUAAACGAUGAGUACUAGGUGUCGGGGGUUACCCCCCUCGGUGCCGCAGCUAACGCAUUAAGUACUCCGCCUGGGGAGUACGCUCGCAAGAGUGAAACUCAAAGGAAUUGACGG